This 456-nucleotide ribosomal RNA is filed under the name Triticum aestivum (bread wheat). Its description in RNAcentral is "partial small subunit ribosomal RNA". The record is from RNAcentral. Lineage: Eukaryota; Viridiplantae; Streptophyta; Magnoliopsida; Poales; Poaceae.
AUGAGCCGUUGGGCCCAUUGGAGGAGAGAUCAAUCUAACAGGCUGUUCAAUGCAGCUGGGAUUGUACCAGUAAGGUGGUUGUUAGAAAAAUCUAGUACCAGCAGGUUUGUGAGAUUGCAUACUGACAUUGGAAUCUGUCCUGUUAGGUCGUUGAAGCUCAAAUUUAGUGAAAGAAGAGAUUUCAGCUGGCCAAUCCCCAGAGGGAUCUCACCAGUUAAUUUAUUGUUGCUUAGAUCGAGCCUUAGCGCAGUGGUAAAGCUGUUGCCUUGUGACCAUGAGGUCACGGGUUCAAGUCCUGGAAACAGCCUCUUACAGAAAUGUAGGGAAAGGCUGCGUACAAUAGACCCAAAGUGGUCGGACCCUUCCCCAGACCCUGCGCAAGCGGGAGCUACAUGCACUGGGGCUGCCCAUUUUAGAUCCAUCACUUUGGUGAAAGCAAUGGGUAUGCGAUACUGA